This is a long non-coding RNA of Dromaius novaehollandiae (emu), 6476 nucleotides long. RefSeq lists it as uncharacterized. The record is from RefSeq and is a predicted model, not a curated record. NCBI's taxonomy places the organism in Eukaryota, Metazoa, Chordata, Aves, Casuariiformes, Dromaiidae. The transcript is spliced from 5 exons.
CAAAUACACAAUGCUUUGGGUAAGCCACACCCCUUUUCUAGUAGUAAACCUAAGUUUUCCAUUCAGAACUUUUGCUGCAGUAUCUUAGUGUGCAUGUGUGUGCUAAGAAAGUCAUAGUGCAUGUGCCUCAUGCUCCCAUUCUUCUUUGGGGACAGGACCACAUCUCCUGGUGUAGCUGGUCCCUUGCUGCAGUACGUGCUGGAAGUGUAGUCCUGUCCUGGAGAAGGUUCAUGCUGAAGGAGAAGGAGGAAGCUUGGUUCAGAAAGGCUGUAACAGGGGAGAUGGAAUAUCACCUCCUGGACAUCCCGUCCCGUGAGAACUGCCUGUCUGCACUGAGUUCAUACACGCAGCUGAAAGGGCAGCUGAAAGGGGAAACCUGAGACACCUCAUCAUAUCCGGCAAUGCAGCAAAGCUUCCAAGGUGUUGCUUCUGGGGGAGUCAAGCGACGGUGUUUGCAGUAUAGAUGAUCAGUCAUGAGGAGAUUUAACACAACUUCCAGACCAGACAGACCUAGCCUUAAUUAGGAGAUAAUCAGAAACAGUGGUAAGCAAAACCGAAAGUGCAGGCUAACUAGAAACAAGAUUCCUGCUUUCUGAAAUGGUCUGAGUUGUCAGAAUUUGUUUUAUUUUCACUCUAGCAUGAAGCAAACACUUUAAAAACAGACAAACAAACAAAGAAGAAAGCGCAUCAGUCCAGAACAGCCAACAGCCAAGUUUGAAGAUAUCCCUGUGAAUUUAAGAGACUUAGGCUCUGCCUGAUUGCCAUUUCACCUACAGCCCAAGCACAAAAGCCUGAAAUCCUAUGCAAGAUGGCAAAGAAAGGACAUCCUACAUCUGCCCCGCAGGAACGAUGGCAGCAGGCUGACAUGCUAGAGCUUCCUCCCUAAGAAACAUUUCCUCGCCACUCUACAGAUUACUGGAUUCAUAGGUUUUCACAGGGAGAGAAGACCUAAUAAUCACUUCAUCGGUGAGGUUGGUACCUUAGGAACCACCACUUUGAGGAAGAAAGGGAAGAAGCAACAGUUUUGUGUAACUGCUUCACAGCGCUGGAGGGACGGCAGCUGCUCGGAGGCCUGAGGGGAGAGAACAGUCCCCCGGAAGCCAAAGAGUAACUGAGAGGCCGAUAUGGAGAGACUACGGGAAACCUUGGGAGAUGGUUAUGGACCUCUUGCAGUGGCUGCCCAGCAAGUUUACCUCUUCCUUGCUGCUGUGCACCUUUUUGCCAUACAAAUAACAGCACUUGAUAGGGAGCAGCUGAGGCUCCCGAUACGGCUGCCGGGGGCUCGGGCAGAGGGCGGUGCUGCCCUCUCUCCAGCCGUGCUGGACCGCGCACCUCCUCAUGCCGGGCAGCUCAUCUGGCGCUCGAAGAGCUUCAGCCUUGGACAUUCACGCGCUGACCUCGAGGCCACAUCUUUCCCUGGCCUGUUUCUCCUGAUGUCAGCGAUUAAUUGCAUAAGCUAGUAAUUCCUCUGUAUCAUUUUAGUUUAGAAAAUGCCAGCUGGCGAUGUCUGUUAACCAAACAUCUUUAGAAUGGGUUUUAGGGAACUUCUCCCGUGUGUAAUUUGUCCAUUUUACACUGCCUUUCCGCAGAACGCCACAGGCUCCCCGUUCUGGCUCCGUUCAGCAGACAGAGUUAUCACUGUCGUAGAAACUGCCGGUGAAGAGGCAGCGUAACAAAAUCUGUUGCGUGUUCGUGCUGCGUCGCCUCCAGUAAUACUGGAAUGAGGUUCAUUUGUGAUUCUUCUUUCAGAGACUUUUCUGAGUUAUGCUGGUAUUUGUGAAAACACUCUCAGUAAUUCAUCAUUUCCUUAUCAACAGUUACAGGAAAGAAAACCUCAUCAUCCUUGGAGCAUGCUGGACUACAGGUACGGAAUAAUGUGUGAGCCCAUUUCAGGCUUUUUUUUAAUUCAAGGCAAGAUCUCCUUGUCCUCUGAAAAACAAAAGUAUCCAAGCAUCCCACUACAUGGGCAGUGCAAACACAUGGCCUUUCAGCACUGAUGUGGCACCUUCAAAGUACUGUUUCUGUGCAAUAUGGUCAAUAAAGAGCAUCCAGUGUGGAUGUAAUUUCUCUUCUGUAUUUUAGAUGGGGAAAAGCUUAUGUGAUCUGGUUGUGCAAAGGAAAUUAAAAUGGUUAAAAAGAGACUGCUGCUUCCCAGAAAGGACUGGAAAGAUCACAUUGUUUAAUAAAGCUAUUUUUGCAGUCAGUGUUACUUUUGUGCUUCCCGAGAAGAAUUAAUCCAGACAGAUCCAUAUAACCUGGAGUCUGAGUCACAGACAUAAUUUUUAGGCAGAGUGAGAUUUGAUCGUCCUCCCCCACACCUCGUGCUUUAUAGUAAAAGCUAAACUGAGCCAACAAACAUUGCUUUUCACGUAGCCCAAACUGAAACUAACAUGCUACGGAGGAGAAGGUUACAGUUUAUUUUGAGCCUGCUGUGUCAUUCAGACUUGGCCUGAGACGUACCCGUAUAAUCAGCAGCCUUGGCAGUAAGUCCCAGCGGCAGCUUUUUAGGUUAGAGAGGCCUUGCUUAAGUAUAAAAAUGCAAUCAGCAUUUCAGAGCCAAAGAGCCAGCACUAAAUAAUCCCUACCUUUUUUUCUCAGCCAUUUUUUUUUCAUUUGGUUAAUUAACUUUAUUUUCCUUUGAUUUGUUUGCAGACAACAGAAAACUAUUAAGAAAAAAAAAAGUUCUCCUCUCAGUAGGGAUAUUCACGUUAAAAGAGAAAGCAAAUUGCUCAUUAUUUUCUGCAAAGAACUUCAAAAAGCAAGGGCUGAAGGAAAGCACUGAGCUAAUGGUAUUGUUUCAAAGCUGACACUAACAUCUUUCAACUUUCUUAUAAUUUUAAGAGCAUUGGAAAGCUCUAAUUAUUAGCUAUGAGCCGAACACCAACAUUUUUUAAAGGUAUAAGCAAAAAAAGCCAACUCUAUGGGCUACCUUCCCAGCCCAGUGCUGUUACACAUCCAGGCUGUCCUAUUGCCAUCAGGUGGGACAAGUGGCCCCAUGUCCCAUAACCUGGCUAGGAGUUAGACACCUGGAUGAUGGCUGGUCAUCCUCGACUGCCUUUAAAAUCCAUGGAGAUAGUAGGCUACUCUAGAUGGUGGUUUACCCACACCGUCUCAGAGGCCAGUCUUACUAGGGUAAGAUGAAUUGGCUUUUGGUUUCUGCUUUGAAUAUAAAGGGGAACUAAGAUGUCCGGCUUAGACAUUUCAGACACUGAUGUUAGGGCAAAUAAACCUCACCUUGGUUAUUCACCUCUGUGUUCUCUCAUGUCUCUAAUAGUUUCCACCAUAAAGUUUGUUUUUUUAGGUCUGUCUAUAGAGAAGCUUGAUUUUAGCUCUGGUGAUAACACUCAGCAGUACCUUCCGUCAGACAACAAAUAGUGCUACUUUAUACAUAAGCUUCAUGCUAUAGUAAAUGUCAGAGUUGGACUUCAAUACCUCAGACCAUCUGUAGCUGGUAUUGAGACAUCCUUCAUUAGUUUCUGGUUAUGAUCAACUAUUAAAGCGGAUUGCUUUUUAAGUAAAGACAUUGUGUACUAUGUCUUAAUUUAAUUGUCUAAUCACUGCCACAUUUUUCAGAGUUCUUGCACUGUCUUCUGCUGACAGAUGUUGUUUAAAUUAAAUAUAUAUAUAUAUAUAUAUCUUUACUUAUUAGUGCAUUAUUUAUCCAGGGAAAAAAAAUCUGGCAUCUCAUUUUAUAGGGAAUCAGUCAGUUGCUUCAGAUGUCAACUUUGGAGUUCAUUAUUUCCAAAGGCCUAGCAAGUUUUUAUUCUUUCGUGUUUUCAGAACCUGUUCAUCAAGGUCAAGCAGUACUUGUUUUCUUUCACAUGUUGACUGAGGCUGAUUUACUAAUUUAACUCUCUGUCUUUUGCAAUUGUUCAUGAAGAGCUUAUGUAAUGCAGACUAUGAUAGGCUGUAUUUUGGGUUAUCUCAGUUUCAGUUAAAUUUGGUGGAGGUACUUAAUAAAAAAAAUGGGCAGUGACAGAAAUGUAGUCUCUACAGAAAGAAAACAAUUUUCAGUGCUUACUCAAUGAAAUGCCGCUGGAGUGAAAAGCUGUGGGAAAUCUGAAGUGUUUCCAAAAGAGUGACACAUAGCUUUAAAUUAUAUAUGAUCAUACAUGAAUUCUAAAUUCUCAAAACUCAAUUUUGAGCAAAAAUCUAAUCAAAGAAUGUGUACGUCAGAUUGUCUAAUGUUCAGAGUGGAAAUCUCUCUUGAAAGGACGGUGCCUGACUAAUCAGACCUGUUCAGAGGUGCUGGCUCGGGUAAAGAAGAAAAAUCUAAAAUGAGCAGCUUAAUAUACCGUAGACUUUUAAAUUAGCCUCUAAAUUGCCUGAGAUUCCUUGAAAACACAAAACAGUGAACUCUGGAAUCUUCCUCAAAAGUAUUUUAAGGUGAAUAAAAGAUGUCUCUCAGAGUAUAGCAGUCUUUGCGAGGGGCUUGGAAAACUGCUUUAUGAAUAUAAAUGUGAAGAAAGAUUCAGGAUAACAUUCAAGUAAUAAAAAUUACUUCGGAAGCACAGUUUUAGGUUUAUGAAAGAUUUUUCAUCCAUUUUAAUGCAUGCAGUUUAUUUAGCUUCAGCAGUUUGCCUUCUGACUUUAACACACUUGAACAUUGCUCUCACAUGCAACCAAAUAACUUCUACUAACUUCAGGAGAAUAUUCUGAAGCUGUCAUUUUUUUCUAAACUUAAGACUAAAAUCAGAUUAUGGUUUUCCCUCACUUUGUGUGAAGCGGGAAUUUAAAGAAGACAGAACUGUCUUAGCACAUGCUACGCUAAUAUUAAUGAGAGAUUAGUUUAACAUUUUCCUAUGAGCUUUGUCUUUUUUUUUUCCUUUUUUACUAAACAUACACUGAAUACCUAGUGCAUGUGUCCAGCUUUUGGUGUAUAACACCAUGCAUGCAUUAGAGUGCAAAAGCAUUUUUUGCAAUUUUUUUCUCACUAAUUAUUUUAUUGACUAUAAAUUAUGUUUGCCUCAACAGUAUAAACAAAUGUCAUUCUACCACUCAGUUACCUGAUUCCCAUUUAAAGUAUCUAUUCAGUUUACAUAAAUAUGCAUAUGAAUAUGUAAAUAUAAUAUGUACAUGUAAAUGUAACCUUUUUCUUCCUAUAAACCGUAUAUUAAUGGCAACUCACUUUAGUGUCAUCAGCAGCUAGAUAUUUUGUGGGUAAACUAGAUAUUUUCAGGAGUGCCUCUUGGAUUUACUAGCAAAAACUUUAUUCUAGGUGGAUAGUUCCUAAAUGACUGAAGGUAACUACAUGAUGCAGUAAUUCACAUGUCUGCGGUUUCAUUUACAGUGUAAGUACUUUGGAUUUUUGAAACAGUACAGUCCUGAUAGUGCAGUUCUGAACAUAAGUUAAUUUGCCUUACGGAGAAGAUUUGUAGCAAAAAAAUGGAAGUGUAGAAUGAUAAAACUGGUGGGACCCAGAGAGCUGAUCUCGUCCAUCCCUCUGGCCUUCGUGAUAGAUGCUUUUCUAACUUUUUCUUAAGAACUUACAGUAAUGAAAGUUCCACAAGUGCCACAGGCAUUUCAGAUUAGUGCAUUGCUACUGGUGCUUUGCUUACAUUGGAAGCUAUUCCUGAUAUCUAAAAUGGGUCUUACUUGAAGUAAUGUAAUUCCUUGUAAUUGUCACUCUUUGUGCCUUAGACACUGAGAAUAAAUUCUUCCAUUCUUCUUUUGUAGCAGAAUUUUAUGUAAUUGUAUUUGAUGUCUAAAACCUAUCUCCAUCAGCCUUCUCUCAUUUAGACUCCAGAAUUCCAGUUCUUCCCAGUCUUUUGUCUCCCUCAGUCAUGUUUUCUAUACCUCAUUGUUCUCCUUUGGGUUGUCUCCACUGGAUCUGCAUCUUCCUCCAAGGGCAGUACCCAAACCAGCGCUCUGUAUUCAGCUGAGGCCUCACCAGCGCUGAACACAGCACAAGAAUUACUUCAUCUUUCCUACAGGCGGUAGGAAACCUGAGCUGGGUGCUGACAUGGCUGUUCCACUUCCAGUUCCAGGAUUAUCUCAUUUGCAACUAGCUUGGAUAUCUCUGACUGAUACCAUGUUGCAGGAUAGGCAAAAUCCCUUCAGUGUUUUGUAAAUCUUUCCAUUGAUCUAAAUGAAAAAGGGAUUUGAGAUAUGAAUCAUCCAGAUGUUGUCACCAGUAUUCAUAACUGAACUAAUAAUCCCUGGUUAAAAACCAAACCAAACCAAACCAAACCAAAAAAAAAAAAAAAAAAAAAAGGGAAGGUUUAUACACAUCAGUAACACAGUAACACAAAGCAAAUAUUAAUGUUGAAAAAAAGAAGGAAUAUCGUUAAAUAUGUCAGAAGUGAGGUUAUUAGUGCAAUCCCAGUCUGGCGUGUCUGUGUAUGUCUGUCAGUAGCAGACUUGAAUUAAAUCUUAUUCUUUUCUUUUUCAAAUCUAAAGCAGGAAUGAGGUAUUAUUAAAUAUUUUUCUUCUAUUCUUCUGGUGCAAUGUGGCUCUAGAUCUUAUUUAGUGCAUCC